CAAAAUUAUUUCGUUAAGAUUGAAACAUGGAUUUCGAAGGGUAAAUUUCAAACUGUUACUAUUUCAAAUUUCAGGAAAAACGCGUAAGAAAUGCUGUUUUUGUGCGUUAAGUGCCUUCAAUCCGAAAAAGGGGCUAUAUGACAGCUGCAUACAAAUAUGGUCAGAUCUGGACCAGAUAUUGAGGAGUCCAUGCAAAUCACUGUAAAGGGAAAAAUGGGUAGUAAAGCGCACUUUGCUUUAUCCAAAUUCGCCACAGUUGUUCACAAGGCGGAUUCUAAAAAGGUGGUCUCACGUGAACAGCUGAAAACAGCCAGCCAGUUCAACGUUUUUAAGAUGAUAGUUCUUUGUUAACAUUCACAGCAAACCUCUCCAUAUUUUUGCACGUUCUCUUUCUCUUAUAGUACGGGCACACGUACACAUUUCUUUGGUUGUGUUGAGGACAAUGUCGGUUCAGUAAAUCAGCUUGAUGGAAAAUCUCGGAUUAGACGAUAUGAUUUGUGAUUGUUAUACAAAUGAGACCAAAUUUUAGAUCCGCCUUGAGUUGUUCAUUAAAAUCGGGGAAAAAAACACCUUAGACUUUUAUGACCUCAAGAUUUCUUAUCGGGAGAUUGGUAUAAACAGAUCUUUAUCAAAAUAAAAGCCAUUUUUGAGCUCUAGGCUGAUUUCAACAAACCGAUGGACGGACAUGUCGAGAUCGUCUACGAAUAUAACGACCAUCUAGUACCCAGCAAAAACUUGAACGCGUUAUAAACAGGAACACCUUCUGUGUUACCGGUAGUACAAAUGUCAUUACAUACAACAUUCGAUGAAGCUCAAAAAUAAGCACUUAUUUGUAAUAAUAGAAAAAAUCAUUAUUAUUAUAACGUUGGAAUUGAUAACAAUAUCUCUUUUUAGGCAAACAAAGAAUAAUGAAUAAGGACAGUAAUGCUAUUGGAGCUAUAUCAAGUUAUAGUCCGAUACGGACCAUAAAUGAAUUGUAUGCUGAACAUUGUAGAAGUCAUUGUGUAAUAUUUCAGUCCAUUCGGAUAAGAAAUACGAAUUUUAGGGGCUCAAGAAGCAAAAUCUGGAGAUCGGUUUAUUUGGAAGCUGUAUCAAGCUAUAGAUCGAUACAGACCAUAUGCUCACGUAUGUUGAAGGCCUUGGGAGAAGCCGUUGUACAAAAUUUUUUCUGCAAUUACAGA
This is a long non-coding RNA of Stomoxys calcitrans (stable fly), 1181 nucleotides long. RefSeq lists it as uncharacterized. The record is from RefSeq and is a predicted model, not a curated record. The transcript is spliced from 4 exons. NCBI's taxonomy places the organism in Eukaryota, Metazoa, Arthropoda, Insecta, Diptera, Muscidae.